RNAcentral lists this ribosomal RNA (121 nucleotides) under Pteropus alecto (black flying fox). Lineage: Eukaryota; Metazoa; Chordata; Mammalia; Chiroptera; Pteropodidae. The record is from RNAcentral.
GUCUAUGACCAUGCCACCCUGAAAAAAACGGGAUCCCGCCCGAUCUCGGAAGCUAAGCAGGGUCGGGCCUGGUUAGUACUUGGAUGGGAGAUCACCUAGGAUAGACCAGGUGCUGUAGGUG